This 253-nucleotide ribosomal RNA is filed under the name uncultured bacterium. RNAcentral's name for it is "partial 16S ribosomal RNA". It matches the Rfam family "Bacterial small subunit ribosomal RNA", at positions 524 to 776 of the family's 1533-position model. The record is from RNAcentral.
UACAGAGGUCUCAACCGUUGUUCGGAUUCAUUGGGCGUAAAGGGUGCGUAGGCGGUCGCGCAAGUCGGAUGUGAAAUCUCAGGGCUCAACCCUGAAACUGCAUUCGAUACUGCGUGGCUAGAGUACUGGAGAGGAGACUGGAAUUUACGGUGUAGCAGUGAAAUGCGUAGAUAUCGUAAGGAAGACCAGUGGCGAAGGCGAGUCUCUGGACAGUAACUGACGCUGAGGCACGAAAGCCAGGGGAGCAAACGGG